GGAGGCAAACUGAGGAGUGAGGGUAGAAGGCAGAGGGAUGACCUGAGCUUGGCUGACUGGUCUAGAAGAUGUGAUCGCUGGCUGUGUUGGCCACUAUCUGCCGGCAUGGGGACGUUCAUGAGGGUUACUACGGAGCAGAGGAAGCAGAUGUCAGGGCUUGGCAACGUGUUCUGAUCUGCAAAAGACCACAGUUUAACCCCCCUGAAUCGUGUAACACCACUGAAUACUACAGUAGAAACCCACAGGUGGACUUGUGAACUCGUUCAUAUCGCAGACAUCACACCGAGCUGUUGCUUCUUGAUUUAAAUGCCUUUAUUUCGUGGCUUGCCCUUCCCUGCUGCCUAAUUUGGGAGCCCAACCUCAGUCAGUAAGUUCAGAAUUUUAGGCUAUUGCUUUUUAACUUUAUGUACAGUUCCCAAACUUAACAGCGCUUCUGUAUCAGCUUAAAGAAUAACUGCGUACAGAGCCUAACAAUUCUUGAUGUGAUAUAUUCUUUUUCUGGUUUCCAAAAGGUAACCCCAGUGAAGUCUAAAUGGAGUUUUGGGAAAAGACUUCCAGAGGGAAGCCGCUCAGUUUGCUUUCUGUCAGCUUUAGGAACUCUGAGCAGCAUGGAGUUUUGAAUAAUAUUAUUUCAGUGAAACCAGUAAAAAGAUCUUGGAUCUACGGAGUUCUGCAAGGUGCAAAUCGUGCUAGCAGAGCACAGUGAAGUGCCCAUUUGGGCCUCUGAAAGGCAGUCUUAGUGUCAUACCAUUGGGCACUGUGUCCCGCGGGUGAGCGGCUGGGAUAGGAGUAUGUAUUCUGCUGGGUUAGAACUUUUGGGUCAACAUCAGAAUAGAAUAUUUACUUUCAGCGUUCCUGAUGUUUAGUCACUGAAGUUUUUCACUUUAGUGGUCUCUGGCCUUGCAGGCUGGUGGCUGUGUAGCACGUGGGAAGUCCCUCUGAGCUGUGGUGGCCAGCACUGAGGCUGAUGCUGCUUUGUCUGCUGGGGAGGAACAAAAAUGAAGCAAACCAAAUGCUAAAAAUGUAAGAAGCAAACUUAAACAUCAAAAAGAUACCAAAAAGUCUUGGAGUCUCUUUUUCAAGUCAGAAGCUCUGGAUGCAUGGUGAAUGCAGACUUGGCUUCUUGUUUGAAGGAAUCUCUGUAAUAGCUUUGUUUUAUUUAGUCUUAAGUUAAGCAGCAUUGCAGUGGAGACCUGGAGGAUGUCUUCAAAUAGUUGCUUAAGGAAUGCAUUUACCUACUAACAGUAAGCCUUAAAGAAAAUUUAACGUUGUAUAUGCUUAGCUAAGGGUCUGCUCUGUGAGUAAGGGAAUGUUUCUGGAGGGGGGGAAGAAAGAUAAAUGUGCCUGGCAGGUGUGAUAGAGAUUCCAAGCCUGUGUGGGUAAAGGCCAUAUGUAAUUCCCUUUCCUUAUGUAAUUUGCCAUAUUUUUAUUUCCAGUAAAUGGAAGUAUUUAUUUGGGUGGCCCGAGCAGAAAUUAGCACUGACAAUUAUGAGUAUUAUUCCUUUGCAUCCCUUGGAAAAAAAAAUCCUAAUUUAUAAUGAAGGAGAGAGCAAAGAAAAAAAUUAACUUUCCUCUGCUGUGAUUGGUAUAGCUAGUCAGGGGGGUUACUGAUAUUAAGUGCAUCAUGACUGCUGCACCUGAUAUAACAAAAAUUAAUUGCAUGUUUCAGUGACAGUCAAAUCAUUAUUGCUUUGUCCCACAAACCUAGCCCCAUUACAUGUAAGCAGGAUCGAGCCCAUUGGUUUCGUAAGGGCAAUUCAAAUGCAUGAAACCCCCCCCAAGUUUAGGCUCAGCCACAGGCAAACAAAAGUCUCCCGCACGUUAGGAACCAAAAAGCAGGUUUAGGAUGAAUUUUUCAUAUGAGUGUAACCCCAAGUAGGAAGAAAAAAAACUCCAUUAGGGUAGCAGUGGAAGCUAAAUGUUAAACAAGCUUGGAUCAGGAAAAAAAAAUUGUCAGAGCAGCAUAGUGGCACUUUAUCACUCUGUCAUCUGUUA
Molecule: long non-coding RNA, 1995 nt
Organism: Gallus gallus (chicken)
Lineage: Eukaryota; Metazoa; Chordata; Aves; Galliformes; Phasianidae
Exons: 3
Source: RefSeq, a predicted model, not a curated record